RNAcentral lists this ribosomal RNA (536 nucleotides) under Bacillus paralicheniformis. Its description in RNAcentral is "bacterial SSU rRNA". It matches the Rfam family "Bacterial small subunit ribosomal RNA", at positions 785 to 1321 of the family's 1533-position model. The record is from RNAcentral. Lineage: Bacteria; Bacillati; Bacillota; Bacilli; Caryophanales; Bacillaceae.
CCCUGGUAGUCCACGCCGUAAACGAUGAGUGCUAAGUGUUAGAGGGUUUCCGCCUUUUAGUGCUGCAGCAAACGCAUUAAGCACUCCGCCUGGGGAGUACGGUCGCAAGACUGAAACUCAAAGGAAUUGACGGGGGCCCGCACAAGCGGUGGAGCAUGUGGUUUAAUUCGAAGCAACGCGAAGAACCUUACCAGGUCUUGACAUCCUCUGACAACCCUAGAGAUAGGGCUUCCCCUUCGGGGGCAGAGUGACAGGUGGUGCAUGGUUGUCGUCAGCUCGUGUCGUGAGAUGUUGGGUUAAGUCCCGCAACGAGCGCAACCCUUGAUCUUAGUUGCCAGCAUUCAGUUGGGCACUCUAAGGUGACUGCCGGUGACAAACCGGAGGAAGGUGGGGAUGACGUCAAAUCAUCAUGCCCCUUAUGACCUGGGCUACACACGUGCUACAAUGGGCAGAACAAAGGGCAGCGAAGCCGCGAGGCUAAGCCAAUCCCACAAAUCUGUUCUCAGUUCGGAUCGCAGUCUGCAACUCGACUGCGU